UACGGAGGGUGCGAGCGUUGUCCGGAAUCACUGGGCGUAGAGGGCGCGUAGGCGGCUACUUAAGCGUGUGGUGAAAGUCCGGGGCUCAACCCCGGAUCGGCCGUGCGAACUGAGUGGCUUGAGCACUGUAGAGGCAGGUGGAAUUCCGGGUGUAGCGGUGGAAUGCGUAGAGAUCCGGAAGAACACCGGUGGCGAAGGCGGCCUGCUGGGCAGUGGCUGACGCUGAGGCGCGACAGCGUGGGGAGCAAACAGG
RNAcentral lists this ribosomal RNA (253 nucleotides) under uncultured Gemmatimonas sp. Its description in RNAcentral is "partial 16S ribosomal RNA". It matches the Rfam family "Bacterial small subunit ribosomal RNA", at positions 524 to 776 of the family's 1533-position model. The record is from RNAcentral. Lineage: Bacteria; Pseudomonadati; Gemmatimonadota; Gemmatimonadia; Gemmatimonadales; Gemmatimonadaceae.